Molecule: ribosomal RNA, 253 nt
Filed under: uncultured bacterium
Lineage: Bacteria
Description: partial 16S ribosomal RNA
Rfam family: Bacterial small subunit ribosomal RNA
Source: RNAcentral
UACGAAGGGUGCAAGCGUUAAUCGGAAUUACUGGGCGUAAAGCGUGCGUAGAUGGCCGAUUAAGUCGGAUGUGAAAGCCCCGGGCUCAACCUGGGAACGGCAUCCGAUACUGGUGGGCUAGAGUGCGGUAGAGGAGAGCGGAAUUCCCGGUGUAGCGGUGAAAUGCGUAGAGAUCGGGAGGAACAUCCGUGGCGAAGGCGGCUCUCUGGACCAGCACUGACGUUGAGGCACGAAAGCGUGGGGAGCAAACAGG